RNAcentral lists this ribosomal RNA (497 nucleotides) under uncultured bacterium. RNAcentral's name for it is "partial 16S ribosomal RNA". It matches the Rfam family "Bacterial small subunit ribosomal RNA", at positions 28 to 507 of the family's 1533-position model. The record is from RNAcentral.
GAUGAACGCUGGCGGCGUGCCUAAUACAUGCAAGUCGAGCGAACGGACGAGAAGCUUGCUUCUCUGAUGUUAGCGGCGGACGGGUGAGUAACACGUGGAUAACCUACCUAUAAGACUGGGAUAACUUCGGGAAACCGGAGCUAAUACCGGAUAAUAUUUUGAACCGCAUGAUUCAAAAGUGAAAGACGGUCUUGCUGUCACUUAUAGAUGGAGCCGCGCUGCAUUAGCUAGUUGGUAAGGUAACGGCUUACCAAGGCAACGAUGCAUAGCCGACCUGAGAGGGUGAUCGGCCACACUGGAACUGAGACACGGUCCAGACUCCUACGGGAGGCAGCAGUAGGGAAUCUUCCGCAAUGGGCGAAAGCCUGACGGAGCAACGCCGCGUGAGUGAUGAAGGUCUUCGGAUCGUAAAACUCUGUUAUUAGGGAAGAACAUAUGUGUAAGUAACUGUGCACAUCUUGACGGUACCUAAUCAGAAAGCCACGGCUAACUACGUG